RNAcentral lists this ribosomal RNA (309 nucleotides) under uncultured bacterium. RNAcentral describes it as "bacterial SSU rRNA". It matches the Rfam family "Bacterial small subunit ribosomal RNA", at positions 28 to 334 of the family's 1533-position model. The record is from RNAcentral.
GACGAACGCUGGCGGCACGCUUAACACAUGCAAGUCGAACGGUGAAGAGAGAGCUUGCUCUCUCAGAACAGUGGCGGACGGGUGAGUAACACGUGAGCAACCUGCCUUUAAGAGGGGGAUAACGUUUGGAAACGAACGCUAAUACCGCAUAAUAUAGAUGUACCGCAUGAUAUGUCUAUCAAAGAUUUAUCGCUUAAAGAUGGGCUCGCGUCUGAUUAGCUAGUUGGUGAGGUAACGGCUCACCAAGGCGACGAUCAGUAGCCGUACUGAGAGGUAGAACGGCCACAUUGGGACUGAGACACGGCCCAG